Molecule: ribosomal RNA, 440 nt
Filed under: uncultured bacterium
Lineage: Bacteria
Description: partial 16S ribosomal RNA
Rfam family: Bacterial small subunit ribosomal RNA
Source: RNAcentral
CCUACGGGUGGCAGCAGUGGGGAAUAUUGCGCAAUGGGGGGAACCCUGAUGCAGCGCCGCCGCGUGGGUGAAGAAGCGCCUCGGCGCGUAAAGCCCUGUCAGCAGGGAAGAAAAUGACGGUACCUGAAGAAGAAGCCCCGGCUAACUACGUGCAAGCAGCCGCGGUAAUACGUAGGGGGCCAGCGUUAUCCGGAUGUACUGGGGGUAAAGGGGGCGCAGACGGUGAUGCAAGCCAGGAGUGAAAGGCAGGGGCCCAACCCCGGGACUGCUCUUGGAAAUGGGAGGCUGGAGUGCAGGAGGGGCAGGCGGAAUUCCUGGUGUAGCGGUGAAAUGCGUAGAUAUCAGGAGGAACACCGGUGGCGAAGGCGGCCUGCUGGACUGCAACUGACGUUGAGGCCCGAAAGCGUGGGGAGCAAACAGGAUUAGAUACCCCGGUAGUC